GCGCUGUUUUCAAAUUUCAUUUUCUUCCGGUUUUGUCCAGCACCACGAGAACAUGAGGACGCGGCGAAAAGUUGGACAAUGAUCACAAGACUCCUACCGUGAAUCUGGCGCAGUUUAUCAGGGGUUCCCUACACUGGUCCUCGAAGACAGCUGGUCAACAUGUUUUCCAGCAUCUCUGCCCAUCAUCCACCUGCUGUGUGUUCAGUCAGAGCUAAAAAUGACCAUUUCAGGGUGAAUAACAGUCAGUCAUCUGUCAGACAGAAUUCAAUACUCUUUCUCCUGGCCAACUAAUUGUCUCCAGUGCAAAUGAUCCUUUGUCAUCCCACUCCCUGAGGACACUCCAGAGUAGUAAUUGUCAUUGUGGACUCCAGCAGGUCUACAUGUUCUGUUAAGAGACUGGAUUCUGAGAGCGAGAUCCUGUGAAGUGUUCAUCAAAGCUGAAGAGAAGA
Long non-coding RNA from Danio aesculapii, 449 nucleotides. RefSeq lists it as uncharacterized. The record is from RefSeq and is a predicted model, not a curated record. NCBI's taxonomy places the organism in Eukaryota, Metazoa, Chordata, Actinopteri, Cypriniformes, Danionidae. The transcript is spliced from 5 exons.